UACAGAGGGUGCAAACGUUGCUCGGAAUCACUGGGCGUAAAGGGCGUGUAGGCGGGCAUGUAAGUCGGGCGUGAAAUCCCUAGGCUCAACCUAGGAACUGCACUCGAAACUGCGUUUCUUGAGUAUCGGAGAGGAAAGCGGAAUACCUGGUGUAGAGGUGAAAUUCGUAGAUAUCAGGUGGAACACCAGUGGCGAAGGCGGCUUUCUGGACGAUAACUGACGCUGAGACGCGAAAGCGUGGGGAGCAAACAGG
RNAcentral lists this ribosomal RNA (253 nucleotides) under uncultured bacterium. RNAcentral's name for it is "partial 16S ribosomal RNA". It matches the Rfam family "Bacterial small subunit ribosomal RNA", at positions 524 to 776 of the family's 1533-position model. The record is from RNAcentral.